Unclassified non-coding RNA from Chelonoidis abingdonii (Abingdon island giant tortoise), 152 nucleotides. The record is from Ensembl. Lineage: Eukaryota; Metazoa; Chordata; Testudines; Testudinidae.
UUAGGUUCUUAUGUUCUUAUUAUGUAUAGGAUAGAUGUCGCUUAAGGUAGUGGAAGACUCCCCACAUUGCCUCACCACGGUACCUGAAUCUUGAUCUGGAGAGACCACAUCUAGGGGUGAGGGUAAAUCAGUCUCAUUCAUCCUUGCCAACA